RNAcentral lists this ribosomal RNA (1007 nucleotides) under Vibrio sp. PaD1.22a. RNAcentral describes it as "bacterial SSU rRNA". It matches the Rfam family "Bacterial small subunit ribosomal RNA", at positions 452 to 1459 of the family's 1533-position model. The record is from RNAcentral. Lineage: Bacteria; Pseudomonadati; Pseudomonadota; Gammaproteobacteria; Vibrionales; Vibrionaceae.
GUUAAUAGCAUUAUUAUUUGACGUUAGCUGCAGAAGAAGCACCGGCUAACUCCGUGCCAGCAGCCGCGGUAAUACGGAGGGUGCGAGCGUUAAUCGGAAUUACUGGGCGUAAAGCGCAUGCAGGUGGAUGAUUAAGUCAGAUGUGAAAGCCCGGGGCUCAACCUCGGAAUAGCAUUUGAAACUGGUCAUCUAGAGUACUGUAGAGGGGGGUAGAAUUUCAGGUGUAGCGGUGAAAUGCGUAGAGAUCUGAAGGAAUACCGGUGGCGAAGGCGGCCCCCUGGACAGAUACUGACACUCAGAUGCGAAAGCGUGGGGAGCAAACAGGAUUAGAUACCCUGGUAGUCCACGCCGUAAACGAUGUCUACUUGGAGGUUGUGGCCUUGAGCCGUGGCUUUCGGAGCUAACGCGUUAAGUAGACCGCCUGGGGAGUACGGUCGCAAGAUUAAAACUCAAAUGAAUUGACGGGGGCCCGCACAAGCGGUGGAGCAUGUGGUUUAAUUCGAUGCAACGCGAAGAACCUUACCUACUCUUGACAUCCAUAGAACUUUCCAGAGAUGGAUUGGUGCCUUCGGGAACUAUGAGACAGGUGCUGCAUGGCUGUCGUCAGCUCGUGUUGUGAAAUGUUGGGUUAAGUCCCGCAACGAGCGCAACCCUUAUCCUUGUUUGCCAGCACUUCGGGUGGGAACUCCAGGGAGACUGCCGGUGAUAAACCGGAGGAAGGUGGGGACGACGUCAAGUCAUCAUGGCCCUUACGAGUAGGGCUACACACGUGCUACAAUGGCGCAUACAGAGGGCGGCCAACUUGCGAAAGUGAGCGAAUCCCAAAAAGUGCGUCGUAGUCCGGAUUGGAGUCUGCAACUCGACUCCAUGAAGUCGGAAUCGCUAGUAAUCGUGGAUCAGAAUGCCACGGUGAAUACGUUCCCGGGCCUUGUACACACCGCCCGUCACACCAUGGGAGUGGGCUGCAAAAGAAGUGGGUAGUUUAACCUUCGGGGGGACGCUCACCA